UCACCUCCCACCCGUGUUUAUUUUACCUUGUUGCUUCGGCGGGCCCGCCUUAACUGGCCGCCGGGGGGCUUACGCCCCCGGGCCCGCGCCCGCCGAAGACACCCUCGAACUCUGUCUGAAGAUUGUAGUCUGAGUGAAAAUAUAAAUUAUUUAAAACUUUCAACAACGGAUCUCUUGGUUCCGGCAUCGAUGAAGAACGCAGCGAAAUGCGAUACGUAAUGUGAAUUGCAAAUUCAGUGAAUCAUCGAGUCUUUGAACGCACAUUGCGCCCCCUGGUAUUCCGGGGGGCAUGCCUGUCCGAGCGUCAUUGCUGCCCUCAAGCACGGCUUGUGUGUUGGGCCCCGUCCUCCGAUCCCGGGGGACGGGCCCGAAAGGCAGCGGCGGCACCGCGUCCGGUCCUCGAGCGUAUGGGGCUUUGUCACCCGCUCUGUAGGCCCGGCCGGCGCUUGCCGAUCAACCCAAAUUUUUAUCCAGGUUGACCUCGGAUCAGGUAGGGAUACCCGCUGAACUUAAGCAUAUCAA
RNAcentral lists this ribosomal RNA (522 nucleotides) under Penicillium chrysogenum. Its description in RNAcentral is "eukaryotic LSU rRNA". The stretch from base 155 to 307 matches the Rfam family "5.8S ribosomal RNA". The record is from RNAcentral. Lineage: Eukaryota; Fungi; Ascomycota; Eurotiomycetes; Eurotiales; Aspergillaceae.